AUUUUUAUAAGAACUAAUUUAUAAUAAAACCUGCUCAAUGUAAUAUAAAUAGCUGCAAUUCAUUUGUACUAAGGUAGCAUAAUCAUUAGCUUUUUAAUUUAAAGAUAGAAUGAAAGGUUAAACGAAAUAAAACCUGUUUCAUUAAUUUAAAUUAAUUUAAAAUAAAAGUAAAAAUUCUUUUAAUAAAAGAAAGACGACAAGACCCUAAUAAACUUUUCAAUUUAACUGGGGAGGUUAAAUAAUAAAAACUUAAUUUUAUAAUACACUAAACUUAUAUAAAAUAAAGAUAAAGUUACUAUAGGGAUAACAGCGCUAUAUUAGAAUAAAGUUCCUAUUAAAUCUAAAAUUUACGACCUCGAUGUUGAAUUAAUUUAACUUUUUAAAGCAAAAUUUUUAAAAGAAGGUCUGU
This 409-nucleotide ribosomal RNA is filed under the name Modisimus seguin. Its description in RNAcentral is "partial 16S ribosomal RNA". The record is from RNAcentral. Lineage: Eukaryota; Metazoa; Arthropoda; Arachnida; Araneae; Pholcidae.